AAGCGUGGACGCCAGUCUGCGUGGAGCCGACCUUGAAAUACCACCCUUUAAUGUUUGAUGUUCUAACGUGGACCCGUAAUCCGGGUUGCGGACAGUGUCUGGUGGGUAGUUUGACUGGGGCGGUCUCCUCCUAAAGAGUAACGGAGGAGCACGAAGGUUGGCUAAUCCUGGUCGGACAUCAGGAGGUUAGUGCAAUGGCAUAAGCCAGCUUGACUGCGAGCGUGACGGCGCGAGCAGGUGCGAAAGCAGGUCAUAGUGAUCCGGUGGUUCUGAAUGGAAGGGCCAUCGCUCAACGGAUAAAAGGUACUCCGGGGAUAACAGGCUGAUACCGCCCAAGAGUUCAUAUCGACGGCGGUGUUUGGCACCUCGAUGUCGGCUCAUCACAUCCUGGGGCUGAAGUAGGUCCCAAGGGUAUGGCUGUUCGCCAUUUAAAGUGGUACGCGAGCUGGGUUUAGAACGUCGUGAGACAGUUCGGUCCCUAUCUGCCGUGGGCGCUGGAAGACUGAGGGGGGCUGCUCCUAGUACGAGAGGACCGGAGUGGACGCAUCACUGGUGUUCGGGUUGUCAUGCCAAUGGCACUGCCCGGUAGCUAAAUGCGGAAAAGAUAAGUGCUGAAAGCAUCUAAGCACGAAACUUGCCCCGAGAUGAGUCUUCCCUGAGACUUUGAGUCUCCUGAAGGAACGUUAAAGACGAUGACGUUGAUAGGCCGGGUGUGUAAGCGCAGCGAUGCGUUGAGCUAACCGGUACUAAUGAACCGUGAGGCUUAACCUU
This 771-nucleotide ribosomal RNA is filed under the name Salmonella enterica. RNAcentral's name for it is "partial 23S ribosomal RNA". It matches the Rfam family "Bacterial large subunit ribosomal RNA", at positions 2160 to 2925 of the family's 2925-position model. The record is from RNAcentral. Lineage: Bacteria; Pseudomonadati; Pseudomonadota; Gammaproteobacteria; Enterobacterales; Enterobacteriaceae.